GCUGUUUAUUCUGACUAAGCUAUGCCGUUAUAAUUAUUAUAUAACCCUGUUUAAUAUAUAACAGGAUAUAGGGAAUGCGUUCUUUCAGUAUGUUCUACAUUAGCUAUAAUUAUGGACUUUACGAUAAAGCUAACAGACUGCUUCACUGCUUAAGUCGAGCCAUAGUGAUCGACCGAUACUAUUAUAGCUGUGAGUAAAAUAAUUUUAUUGUUCUUGCUAGUGCUACUGGUAUACCCUCCUCAAUGGGACAGAACUGUUCAGAGCAAUGCUGUUACUGGUAUAAGCAAGUAUCGCGCAACUAUAGUGACUGCCAUGUGUCAUACAAUGGAACUGCUGUCUUAACAUGUGAAGUAUAUGCUCCACGUGAUAGUAGCAACAAUUCAUUGGCAACAGUAAAAUGGUACAGAAACAACGAAUCUGUGAUCGAGAAUGUCACUGAUAGAAAUGAAAAUUCCAAAACGUCAACUAAAAAUGAAUUUAAUUCGUCUAACACUUCAAUGAAUGGACUCUUUGAAGACAGAUAUCAACUAAUCAUUCGUAAUGUCAAUUUUUCAGACAGUGGUGUUUACUGGUGUCAACUUUCAGCUGACGGAUUUUGCUUCAUCCCAUCAGUGUAUGUGAAUAUUACUUUCAAUACAAGCUCUGGUUGUUUAGAAUAUAAUUAUCAGCAAAGUCCAGUUUGCGCAGUAGACAAUUCUCCAUACUGUCAAGUAACACCAACUCCUCCUUUUGUGAACAAUUCCACUCCUACAGUUAUGGCCAACAUUUUGUUAACUAGUUCACUGAUAUCAAUGUCUCCUCAAAUCCCACAUCACCAACCAACUGAAGAGUUGGUUGGUUCAUUAUCAUUCAUCAUUGUUCUGCUAGCUGCAUGUGAUGCUACUCGUCACUAUUUCAAUAUUUGCAUUGGCCUGGACGAGACGAGAUAAGAAGAACCAGUGUGAAACUUGCAGAAAUAAAGGAGCUGCUACAAUAUUGACGGAACAUCCAAAUGAUGGUGGACCAGUUGAGGAUCCUUACCACUCUCUGCCAAAUUCAUCUCAAAUAACAAACCUGGCUACUACCCCAGCCAAAAACAAAACACAGUCGUACGAGGCAAUUGACAUAACGAAAGUGGACUAUAUUAGUGUGUAUAGUGUACCGAAUGAACUUUAAAAAAAACACUUUUGGAGGUGUACAUGUUCCGUGGUUCGAUUGAACUCCUACUUAGUUAUAGAUUUACAACACUCCCAUACUCUUUAGCAAUCAUUUUGUACCGAAGGCCUUAUUGUGUGUGUUUACCACGAGGUACAUACGUAGAGAUAUCUGACAA
This is a long non-coding RNA of Halichondria panicea, 1312 nucleotides long. RefSeq lists it as uncharacterized. The record is from RefSeq and is a predicted model, not a curated record. Lineage: Eukaryota; Metazoa; Porifera; Demospongiae; Suberitida; Halichondriidae. The transcript is spliced from 3 exons.